GGACUACUGGGGUAUCUAAUCCUGUUCGCUCCCCACGCUUUCGUGCCUCAGUGUCAGUAACAGUCCAGAAAGUCGCCUUCGCUACUGGUGUUCCUCCGAAUCUCUACGCAUUUCACCGCUACACUCGGAAUUCCACUUUCCUCUCCUGCACUCUAGCUACGCAGUUUCAGAUGCAUGCUUGAGGUUGAGCCCCAAGGUUUCACAUCUGACUUACAUUGCCACCUACGCACCCUUUACACCCAGUAAAUCCGGAUAACGCUUGCCCCCUACGUAUUACCGCGGCUGCUGGCAC
Molecule: ribosomal RNA, 292 nt
Filed under: uncultured bacterium
Lineage: Bacteria
Description: partial 16S ribosomal RNA
Source: RNAcentral